This 808-nucleotide ribosomal RNA is filed under the name uncultured bacterium. RNAcentral describes it as "bacterial SSU rRNA". It matches the Rfam family "Bacterial small subunit ribosomal RNA", at positions 54 to 862 of the family's 1533-position model. The record is from RNAcentral.
CAUGCAAGUCGAACGAAGCGCUUAAAUGGAUUUCUUCGGAUUGAAGUUUUUGUGACUGAGUGGCGGACGGGUGAGUAACGCGUGGGUAACCUGCCUCAUACAGGGGGAUAACAGUUAGAAAUGACUGCUAAUACCGCAUAAGCGCACAGUGCUGCAUGGCACAGUGUGAAAAACUCCGGUGGUAUGAGAUGGACCCGCGUCUGAUUAGCUGGUUGGUGGGGUAACGGCCUACCAAGGCGACGAUCAGUAGCCGGCCUGAGAGGGUGAACGGCCACAUUGGGACUGAGACACGGCCCAAACUCCUACGGGAGGCAGCAGUGGGGAAUAUUGCACAAUGGGGGAAACCCUGAUGCAGCGACGCCGCGUGAGCGAAGAAGUAUUUCGGUAUGUAAAGCUCUAUCAGCAGGGAAGAAAAUGACGGUACCUGACUAAGAAGCACCGGCUAAAUACGUGCCAGCAGCCGCGGUAAUACGUAUGGUGCAAGCGUUAUCCGGAUUUACUGGGUGUAAAGGGAGCGUAGACGGUUGUGUAAGUCUGAUGUGAAAGCCCGGGGCUCAACCCCGGGACUGCAUUGGAAACUAUGUAACUAGAGUGUCGGAGAGGUAAGCGGAAUUCCUAGUGUAGCGGUGAAAUGCGUAGAUAUUAGGGGGAACACCAGUGGCGAAGGCGGCUUACUGGACGAUCACUGACGUUGAGGCUCGAAAGCGUGGGGAGCAAACAGGAUUAGAUACCCUGGUAGUCCACGCCGUAAACGAUGACUACUAGGUGUCGGGGAGCAAAGCUCUUCGGUGCCGCAGCAAACGCAAUA